GAACGGGGCACAACGGACGAUGCCAAGCGGAAGCGGAAAUAAUAUUCCCCAGCUCAAGCAGCGGAAAUGAUUUAUUAAAAAACGGACCGGCAGGCAACUGAGAAAUCAUAAUAAUCGCAACAAUAACAAAAAAAAAAAUGGUCGAUGUAAGGAAAAAAAUGUCAGGGAUAAAACUUGGUUUUGUCACACAAUAAAUCGUAACAGAAAUCAAAGUGAAACGAAACUGCCAGGAAAAAGUUGUGAACUCAUCGAAUUUUCGAUAAGAGUAAAUUGCAAAAAUAAAUCCAUUAAGAUUAGAUUCAAAAUUCGCAUAAGAUUUUCCUACUGUAGCAAGUGCAUUGAGUUCUCAGAGUUCAGAAUAAUGUAUAUAUACCCUGUUUAUCAGCAUCCAAUACAAUUGCUCGACAAUUACACUGAGGGAGGAUUCAGUGCUUAGUGACACAGAAAUUCUGAUUCUGCUGCUGACAGUUGGCAGGAUAAAAGAUACAAAUGGAGCGCAGCGAGCGUAAAAACUGAAAACGUUUGCAAAUGUAUCUUUGGCUGCUUAAAGGGGAAGUCCGGGCACUUGAAGCAUAAUCACUGAGUGCAGCAUAUGAAGUGGCUUUUUCAAUUAUAUUUUAUACCAAAUGCAGUCUGUGAAGGUAUUCAAUUAGGAUCAAUGUUAUCUAUGCAUCUUUUGGAUUUCGGCUCACUUUGCCCCCUCACAUGUCAAUUAGCAGGAAACAUCUCUGUUUCCCUAUCAUUAAUUACAGCUCGAUGGCUGGAUUCGUUUUGGGGUUUGGGGGGCUGCAGAGAUUUUGUUUGGCCAUCAAAUAAACAAGCGACUGCAACUGCCACAAAAGCUGAUAUGCAUUGCUUGGAUAAACAACAUUCUGUGGCUGCAUUGCAAAUUAAAUUUGUCUGAAGCUCUUAUCACUUAUCACAUGGCUGAGCCAAAGUCAAAGAACGCAGGACGAGCUGCAUCCGCUCGAGCGCACAAGUUGCAAAACUAAUUAGCAGCAAAGUCAGUCAAGAAAAUGUAGUCAGCUACCGCUGAUGUUGCUGCUGUUGCUGUUGCUUUUGCUGUUGCAUCCACCAAAACGCCACAAAUGCUCUAAACGGGAGUGAGUUAUGGCCCAAAAGGAUGAGCAAAAGUGGUGCAUCAACCCAUUUGCCAGCUGCACACACUAGCUAAUAAAUUUAACUAUAAUCCGGCAUUGUUGCACUAAGUA
Long non-coding RNA from Drosophila santomea, 1211 nucleotides. RefSeq lists it as uncharacterized. Lineage: Eukaryota; Metazoa; Arthropoda; Insecta; Diptera; Drosophilidae. The transcript has 3 exons. The record is from RefSeq and is a predicted model, not a curated record.